AACGAACGCUGGCGGCAGGCCUAACACAUGCAAGUCGAACGCUCCAGCAAUGGAGAGUGGCAGACGGGUGAGUAACGCGUGGGAACCUACCCUUUGGUUCGGAAUAGCCCAGGGAAACUUGGGGUAAUACCGGAUAAGCCCUUCGGGGGAAAGAUUUAUCGCCAUUGGAUGGGCCCGCGUCGGAUUAGCUAGUUGGUGGGGUAAUGGCCUACCAAGGCGACGAUCCGUAGCUGGUCUGAGAGGAUGAUCAGCCACACUGGGACUGAGACACGGCCCAGACUCCUACGGGAGGCAGCAGUGGGGAAUAUUGGACAAUGGGCGCAAGCCUGAUCCAGCCAUGCCGCGUGAGUGACGAAGGUCUUCGGAUUGUAAAGCUCUUUUGGCGGGGACGAUAAUGACGGUACCCGCAGAAUAAGCUCCGGCUAACUUCGUGCCAGCAGCCGCCGCAG
This 449-nucleotide ribosomal RNA is filed under the name uncultured bacterium. RNAcentral's name for it is "partial 16S ribosomal RNA". It matches the Rfam family "Bacterial small subunit ribosomal RNA", at positions 29 to 523 of the family's 1533-position model. The record is from RNAcentral.